ACUUUUUUAAGUCAUUAACCACCUCACAUAUCUCAUAAUCCCAAGACCUCAAGUCUAUAACCAGCUUUUUCCCAAAAUCUCCUCUAGACUCCAAGGAAGAAGAUGAACAAUGAAGCUAGGGGUGAAGAAUCAAGAUUUUUCCCCAAAUUCGUGGUUAAUCUUCUAUAAGGUUUAAGUUCUUAAGGUGAUCUUCUAUUGGUUCAAGCUUAGAUUGACUAUUCUCCUAACUUGUGGUGAGUCAUCAAGAUUCGAGAAAUCAUUAGUAGUUUCUUUCUAGUUAUUUUAUGGUUUGAAUUAUGUGAAAGGAUUGUGCCUCUAUUUUUUGUUCAAGGAUUGUAUUAGAUGGCUAUUUGAGACAAGUUAGACUUUCGCUUUCUCUUAUAAAAGACUUCGAUUUUAUGGAUAAAGUUUUAAAUUUUGCAUCAUUUCUUAUAUCUUAUGGUGUAGUAUGCUAAGGGCUUGUAUGAGACUCCUUCGAGUUCAAGUAAGUUAUGUUACAUCUAA
Solanum lycopersicum (tomato) is the source of this 504-nucleotide long non-coding RNA. RefSeq lists it as uncharacterized. Lineage: Eukaryota; Viridiplantae; Streptophyta; Magnoliopsida; Solanales; Solanaceae. The record is from RefSeq and is a predicted model, not a curated record.